Acanthochromis polyacanthus (spiny chromis) is the source of this 604-nucleotide long non-coding RNA. RefSeq lists it as uncharacterized. NCBI's taxonomy places the organism in Eukaryota, Metazoa, Chordata, Actinopteri, Pomacentridae. The transcript has 4 exons. The record is from RefSeq and is a predicted model, not a curated record.
GAUCAUGUAGGAGGAGGCGAACAUGCCGAGCACCUGGAGGUAUUUCACCAGGCGACACAGGAAGUCUGGGCCGGGAAACCGACCCUGAACGUCCCACACCAGCUGGGGCAGCACCUCAGAGAGGAGGCAGAAGUACGGAGCGCCACCACCAGGUCGGCCAGACAGAGGUUGAGCAUGAACUGCUGCAGCGGGUUGUGAUGUCGCCGGCGCCUUAGCAGCACCACCAGCACCAGCCCGUUGCCAAGCAACGCCAUCACCAAGAUGAUCCCCAGCACCACCACCUCGGCCACCGCCAGCAGGGCGUCCCGCUUCCAGUUGGUGGCGUUGGAGCCCCCCGGGGCCUCGGGGGCGACCGACCAAUGGGUGGACAGGCUCAGUGUUCGGGGUCCGGUGCUCUCCACGGCCUUCAUGAUGGACUGAACCACCUCAGAUGUGGAGCCUUGACCUCCCAGAUCAGCGGUGUGCAGCUGGAAAACAUGUGGAGAGAAUGAGUGAAGCUAUGAGCCGAUGCCGGGCGUGUUUUCGUACCCGGGUCUCGGUGACGGUGGACAGGAUGGCUCUGCGGAUCAUGUUGGCGUAGGCGUGGAGCUUCAGGUGGUCCAGC